UACAGAGGGGGCAAGCGUUAUUCGGAAUUAUUGGGCGUAAAGCGCACGUAGGCGGCUUCUUAAGUCGGUGGUGAAAUCCUGGAGCUCAACUCCAGAACUGCCUUCGAUACUGGGGAGCUCGAGUCCGGGAGAGGUGAGUGGAACUGCGAGUGUAGAGGUGAAAUUCGUAGAUAUUCGCAAGAACACCAGUGGCGAAGGCGGCUCACUGGCCCGGUACUGACGCUGAGGUGCGAAAGCGUGGGGAGCAAACAGG
This 253-nucleotide ribosomal RNA is filed under the name uncultured bacterium. RNAcentral's name for it is "partial 16S ribosomal RNA". It matches the Rfam family "Bacterial small subunit ribosomal RNA", at positions 524 to 776 of the family's 1533-position model. The record is from RNAcentral.